Molecule: long non-coding RNA, 464 nt
Filed under: Homo sapiens (human)
Lineage: Eukaryota; Metazoa; Chordata; Mammalia; Primates; Hominidae
Description: non-protein coding lnc-THAP4-4:6
Source: RNAcentral
UUGUGUCAUCCAGAAUGUUUUGUUUUUUAAGAAAAUUGAAUUACUUGUUUCCUGAAAUAUUCUGAGGUUAAUAUGUUAGUUUUCAUAGAACAUUGAGAGGCCCCUGCCACUUUCAAUAAAGACCUGACUUGGAGACAUGCAGGUGUGUGUGGUGGGGCCCGGGCCAUGCGGGGCUGCAGCGUCCCUGGUCCCGAGUCCUCAUCACAGCACGCAGAGACGGCAGCCCAGCCCCCCUUCGAAACUUCCCUGUGACGGAUUCCUGGGCUCUGCUUGGCCCACCGGAAGAACAGAGCAGGCAGAGGAGAAUGCAGGGCCCAGAAAACUUGCCUCCACCACCAUGAGUAGAAAUGGGAGCUGAGCGGACAUCGAAAUGGGCAGCUGACCAGGGCUGCCUCCUGCAAAAUUACCUUUCAAAUGUGUACUUGCUCUCAGCCCGGAAGAAGUAGACGUGGGAUUUGAACUGG